AUGCAUACUUACAUACUUUUGUACUUAUAUUCAUACAUACUUUUAUACUUACACAUACUUUUGUACUUACAUUCAUACACACAUACUUACAUACUUACACAUACUUUUGUACUUACAUUCAUACUUUUAUACUUACAUUCAUACAUACUUUUAUACAUGCAUACUUACAUACUUUUGUACUUAUAUUCAUACAUACUUUUAUACUUACACAUACUUUUGUACUUACAUUCAUACACACAUACUUACAUACUUACACAUACUUUUGUACUUACAUUCAUACUUUUAUACUUACAUUCAUACAUACUUUUAUACAUGCAUACUUACAUACUUUUGUACUUAUAUUCAUACAUACUUUUAUACAUGCAUACUUUUGUACUUAUAUUCAUACAUACUUUUAUACUUACACAUACUUUUGUACUUACAUUCAUACACACAUACUUACACACAUACAUACUUUUAUACUUAUGUACUUACAUUCAUACUUUUAUACAUGCAUACUUACAUACUUUUAUACAUGCAUACUUUUGUACUUACAUUCAUACACACAUACUUUUGUACUUAUAUUCAUACAUACUUUUAUACUUACAUUCAUACAUACUUUUAUACAUGCAUACUUUUGUACUUAUAUUCAUACAUACUUUUAUACUUACACAUACUUUUGUACUUACAUUCAUACACACAUACUUUUAUACAUGCAUACUUACAUACUUUUGUACUUACAUUCAUACACACAUACAUACUUUUAUACUUACAUUCAUACAUACUUUUGUACUUAUAUUCAUACAUACUUUUGUACUUACAUUCAUACACACAUACAUACAUACUUUUGUACUUACAUUCAUACACACAUACUUUUGUACUUACAUUCAUACACACAUACUUUUAUACUUACAUUCAUACAUACUUACACAUACUUUUGUACUUACAUUCAUACACACUUUUGUACUUAUAUUCAUACAUACUUUUAUACAUGCAUACUUACAUACUUUUGUACUUAUAUUUAUACAUACUUACAUACUUUUGUACUUACAUUCAUACACACUUUUGUACUUACAUUCUCACAUACUUUUAUACUUACAUUCUCACACACUUUUAUACUUAUAUUCAUACUCACACACUUUUGUACUUACAUUCAUACUCACACACAUACUUGCAUUCAAGCUGGAGAACCCACGCAUGCACGGGGAGGACAUGCAAACUCCACACAGAGGGAUUUGA
This 1218-nucleotide long non-coding RNA is filed under the name Oryzias javanicus (javanese ricefish). RNAcentral's name for it is "lncRNA (ENSOJAG00000014145.1)". The record is from RNAcentral. Lineage: Eukaryota; Metazoa; Chordata; Actinopteri; Beloniformes; Adrianichthyidae.